RNAcentral lists this ribosomal RNA (450 nucleotides) under uncultured bacterium. RNAcentral describes it as "bacterial SSU rRNA". It matches the Rfam family "Bacterial small subunit ribosomal RNA", at positions 28 to 478 of the family's 1533-position model. The record is from RNAcentral.
GAUGAACGCUGGCGGCGUGCCUAACACAUGCAGGUCGAGCGAAGCACUUUGCUUAGAUUCUUCGGAUGAAGAGGAUUGUGACUGAGCGGCGGACGGGUGAGUAACGCGUGGGUAACCUGCCUCAUACAGGGGGAUAACAGUUAGAAAUGACUGCUAAUACCGCAUAAGACCACAGCACCGCAUGGUGCGGGGGUAAAAACUCCGGUGGUAUGAGAUGGACCCGCGUCUGAUUAGCUAGUUGGUAAGGUAACGGCUUACCAAGGCGACGAUCAGUAGCCGACCUGAGAGGGUGACCGGCCACAUUGGGACUGAGACACGGCCCAAACUCCUACGGGAGGCAGCAGUGGGGAAUAUUGCACAAUGGGGGAAACCCUGAUGCAGCGACGCCGCGUGAGCGAAGAAGUAUUUCGGUAUGUAAAGCUCUAUCAGCAGGGAAGAAAAUGACGGUAC